GUUGGAUUAAAGUUAAGUUCUGGUGUAGAAGCUAGAAAUAUUUAGUCUGUUCGACU
This 56-nucleotide transfer RNA is filed under the name Perotis lugubris. RNAcentral describes it as "tRNA-Gln". The record is from RNAcentral. Lineage: Eukaryota; Metazoa; Arthropoda; Insecta; Coleoptera; Buprestidae.